AUUGAACGCUGGCGGCAUGCCUUACACAUGCAAGUCGAACGGCAGCACGGGUGCUUGCACCUGGUGGCGAGUGGCGAACGGGUGAGUAAUACAUCGGAACAUGUCCUGUAGUGGGGGAUAGCCCGGCGAAAGCCGGAUUAAUACCGCAUACGAUCUACGGAUGAAAGCGGGGGACCUUCGGACCUCGCGCUAUAGGGUUGGCCGAUGGCUGAUUAGCUAGUUGGUGGGGUAAAGGCCUACCAAGGCGACGAUCAGUAGCUGGUCUGAGAGGAAGACCAGCCACACUGGAACUGAGACACGGCCCAGACUCCUACGGGAGGCAGCAGUAGGGAAUUUUGGACAAUGGGCGAAAGCCUGAUCCAGCAAUGCCGCGUGUGUGAAGAAGGCCUUCGGGUUGUAAAGCACUUUUGUCCGGAAAGAAAUCCUUGGCCCUAAUACGGUCGGGGGAUGACGGUACCGGAAGAAUAAGCACCGGCUAACUACGUG
Molecule: ribosomal RNA, 486 nt
Filed under: uncultured bacterium
Lineage: Bacteria
Description: partial 16S ribosomal RNA
Rfam family: Bacterial small subunit ribosomal RNA
Source: RNAcentral